RNAcentral lists this ribosomal RNA (443 nucleotides) under uncultured bacterium. Its description in RNAcentral is "partial 16S ribosomal RNA". It matches the Rfam family "Bacterial small subunit ribosomal RNA", at positions 338 to 795 of the family's 1533-position model. The record is from RNAcentral.
CCUACGGGAGGCAGCAGUGGGGAAUAUUGGGCAAUGGGCGCAAGCCUGACCCAGCAACGCCGCGUGAAGGAAGAAGGCUUUCGGGUUGUAAACUUCUUUUCUCAGGGACGAAGAAAGUGACGGUACCUGAGGAAUAAGCCACGGCUAACUACGUGCCAGCAGCCGCGGUAAUACGUAGGUGGCAAGCGUUAUCCGGAUUUAUUGGGUGUAAAGGGCGUGUAGGCGGGAGCGCAAGUCAGAUGUGAAAACUCAGGGCUCAACCCUGAGCCUGUAUUUGAAACUGGGUUUCUUGAGUGCUUGAGAGGCAAUCGGAAUUCCGGGUGUAGCGGUGAAAUGCGUAGAUAUACGGAGGAACACCAGUGGCGAAGGCGGAUUGCUGGACAGUAACUGACGCUGAGGCGCGAAAGCGUGGGGAGCAAACAGGAUUAGAUACCCUUGUAGUC